AGGGCACCCCCCGGAGGGGAGCCUGCGGCUUAAUUUGGCUCAACACGGGAAAACUCACCCGGCCCGGACACUGGAAGGAUUGACAGACUGAGAGCUCUUUCUUAAUUCAGUGGGGGGGGGUGCAUGGGCGUUCUUUGUUGGUGGAGCGAAUUUGUUGGUUAAUUCCGAUUACGAACGAGACUCUGGCCUAAUAAAUAAACGAGAUAUUACUCAGUGUCUCACGCUUCUGAUAGGGACAAGCGGCGUCUAGUCGCAUGAAAAAGAGCAAUAACAGGUCUGUGAUGCCCUUAGAUGUCCGGGGCUGCACCCGCGCUACACUGAAAAAAUCAGGGGGCGUUUUACCUGGUUCGUAAGAACCGGCUAACCCAAGUAAUUUCUUUCGUGCUUGGGAUAGGGAAUUGCAAUUAUUUCCCUUAAACGAGGAAUUCCCAGUAAACUCGGCUCAUAAGCUCGAGUUGAUUACGUCCCUGCCCUUUGUACACACCGCCCGUCGCUACUACCAAUUGGAUGACUUAGUGA
This 519-nucleotide ribosomal RNA is filed under the name uncultured eukaryote. RNAcentral describes it as "partial 18S ribosomal RNA". It matches the Rfam family "Eukaryotic small subunit ribosomal RNA", at positions 1161 to 1704 of the family's 1831-position model. The record is from RNAcentral.